Molecule: ribosomal RNA, 1455 nt
Filed under: Weissella confusa
Lineage: Bacteria; Bacillati; Bacillota; Bacilli; Lactobacillales; Lactobacillaceae
Description: bacterial SSU rRNA
Rfam family: Bacterial small subunit ribosomal RNA
Source: RNAcentral
AACCAAAGAUGCGAACGCUUUGUGGUUAAACUGAUUUGAAGAGCUUGCUCAGAUAUGAAAAGGAGAUUGCAAAGAGUGGCGAACGGGUGAGUAACACGUGGGAAACCUACCUCUUAGCAGGGGAUAACAUUUGGAAACAGAUGCUAAUACCGUAUAACAAUGACAACCGCAUGGUUGUUAUUUAAAAGAUGGUUCUGCUAUCACUAAGAGAUGGUCCCGCGGUGCAUUAGCUAGUUGGUAAGGUAAUGGCUUACCAAGGCGAUGAUGCAUAGCCGAGUUGAGAGACUGAUCGGCCACAAUGGGACUGAGACACGGCCCAUACUCCUACGGGAGGCAGCAGUAGGGAAUCUUCCACAAUGGGCGAAAGCCUGAUGGAGCAACGCCGCGUGUGUGAUGAAGGGUUUCGGCUCGUAAAACACUGUUGUAAGAGAAGAAUGACAUUGAGAGUAACUGUUCAAUGUGUGACGGUAUCUUACCAGAAAGGAACGGCUAAAUACGUGCCAGCAGCCGCGGUAAUACGUAUGUUCCAAGCGUUAUCCGGGAUUUAUUGGGCGUAAAGCGAGCGCAGACGGUUAUUUAAGUCUGAAGUGAAAGCCCUCAGCUCAACUGAGGAAUUGCUUUGGAAACUGGAUGACUUGAGUGCAGUAGAGGAAAGUGGAACUCCAUGUGUAGCGGUGAAAUGCGUAGAUAUAUGGAAGAACACCAGUGGCGAAGGCGGCUUUCUGGACUGUAACUGACGUUGAGGCUCGAAAGUGUGGGUAGCAAACAGGAUUAGAUACCCUGGUAGUCCACACCGUAAACGAUGAGUGCUAGGUGUUUGAGGGUUUCCGCCCUUAAGUGCCGCAGCUAACGCAUUAAGCACUCCGCCUGGGGAGUACGACCGCAAGGUUGAAACUCAAAGGAAUUGACGGGGACCCGCACAAGCGGUGAAGCAUGUGGUUUAAUUCGAAGCAACGCGAAGAACCUUACCAGGUCUUGACAUCCCUUGACAACUCCAGAGAUGGAGCGUUCCCUUCGGGGACAAGGUGACAGGUGGUGCAUGGUUGUCGUCAGCUCGUGUCGUGAGAUGUUGGGUUAAGUCCCGCAACGAGCGCAACCCUUAUUACUAGUUGCCAGCAUUCAGUUGGGCACUCUAGUGAGACUGCCGGUGACAAACCGGAGGAAGGUGGGGAUGACGUCAAAUCAUCAUGCCCCUUAUGACCUGGGCUACACACGUGCUACAAUGGCGUAUACAACGAGUUGCCAACCCGCGAGGGUGAGCUAAUCUCUUAAAGUACGUCUCAGUUCGGAUUGUAGGCUGCAACUCGCCUACAUGAAGUCGGAAUCGCUAGUAAUCGCGGAUCAGCACGCCGCGGUGAAUACGUUCCCGGGUCUUGUACACACCGCCCGUCACACCAUGAGAGUUUGUAACACCCAAAGCCGGUGGGGUAACCUUCGGGAAGCCCCCAAGCCCCG